GAAGCGCUGACUAAUAAAUUGAAAGCCCUUGUGGGUCUCAAAAGAAAAUACAUUAAACUUCACUGGUUUUUUUAGUACAGCGUAACCGAAGAAUUAUUAGUUUUCAUUAAUGUAUUUCCUAAAAUCUAAAAAGUGCACGCGCGCUAUUCAGAGAGAACGGGCGGCCGUCUCCUGGCCGCUCGAUCUCCCUCCUAUCGAUGCGCGCUUAGCCAGGUGCCACAUGGUCGAAAGACCUUCCCCUUCUGGCCACUCCGCCGCUGACCCAAACCUCGUCUGGCAGAAUCACACCUCACCACAGUCUGCGGGCAUCUGCCCCCACCCUCUCCCCGUCCCCGUCCCCUACCCCCUCCCCUUGUCACGAGAGAAGAGCAGAGUGGAGAGGAGGGAGAUCGAGCGACCAGACUAGAUGAGGCAGCCGACAGCGACAAGGGAUUCUUUGACCUGGGUGCCCCUCCAUGGCGUGCGCUUCUGCUUCGAUUCGUGCCCCCGACGCCAUGCCUGGUGCCCCCAAGGAAGGUGGAACCUCUAGAUGUGGCCACUGCGGUUGGGACAGAAGGAAGCACGAGCUUGCUCUAGCUGGGAGAGGGCAGGAGGAGGAAGCGCGGGUGGAGGUUCGUGAGGAAGAUUGCUAGGAAAUGGAGUUCUUCCGUGUCCGCUAUUUGCUCUUUGCUCGGUGCAUUCAUGUUGAAUCUAGCAAGACGAGCACAAAUUGGAGAGCUGCCGUUUCUUUGGUCGCGGUGCCACUGAUUUUUCAUCCAAAGUUGCACACUCUCCAGCAUAGUAAUGGAUGUAAUCAGGAUGUCUUAUAUUCAGCUACUUUGUGUUUAAUUGAUUUGUAAUAUAGUCUAGUUGCACCAUAUAUUGAUGUUUAGUUGGCUUGUAAUGUAAUCUAGUUGCACAUACAUUGAUAUUUAGUUGGCAACAAGACUAGUUGCACA
Long non-coding RNA from Triticum dicoccoides, 938 nucleotides. RefSeq lists it as uncharacterized. The record is from RefSeq and is a predicted model, not a curated record. The transcript is spliced from 2 exons. Lineage: Eukaryota; Viridiplantae; Streptophyta; Magnoliopsida; Poales; Poaceae.